This 431-nucleotide ribosomal RNA is filed under the name uncultured bacterium. Its description in RNAcentral is "bacterial SSU rRNA". It matches the Rfam family "Bacterial small subunit ribosomal RNA", at positions 355 to 776 of the family's 1533-position model. The record is from RNAcentral.
UCGAGAGGCUUACACAAUGGGGGCAACCCUGAUGUAGCGACGCCGCGUGGGUGAUGAAGGUUUUCGGAUCGUAAAACCCUUUCAGCAGGGAAGAAUGAAACCGGUGUUAAUACCACCGGAUUAGAGACGGUACCUGUAGAAGAAGCUCCGGCUAACUCCGUGCCAGCAGCCGCGGUAAGACGGGGGGAGCAAGCGUUGUUCGGAUUUACUGGGCGUAAAGGGCGUAUAGGCGGGCUGGCAAGUCAGGUGUGAAAUCCCCCGGCUCAACCGGGGAUCUGCACUUGAUACUGCUGGUCUUGAGUACGGAAGAGGGAAGCGGAAUUCCUGGUGUAGCGGUGAAAUGCGUAGAUAUCAGGAAGAACACCAGUGGCGAAGGCGGCUUCCUGGUCCGAUACUGACGCUAAAGCGCGAAAGUGUGGGGAGCAAACAGG